Molecule: ribosomal RNA, 476 nt
Filed under: uncultured bacterium
Lineage: Bacteria
Description: partial 16S ribosomal RNA
Rfam family: Bacterial small subunit ribosomal RNA
Source: RNAcentral
UUGAACGCUGGCGGCAUGCCUUACACAUGCACGUCGCACGGUAACAGGUUAAGCUGACGAGUGGCGAACGGGUGAGUAAUACAUCGGAACGUGCCCAGUAGUGGGGGAUAGCCCGGCGAAAGCCGGAUUAAUACCGCAUACGACCUAAGGGUGAAAGGGGGGGAUCGCAAGACCUCUCGCUAUUGGAGCGGCCGAUGUCAGAUUAGCUAGUUGGUGGGGUAAAAGCUCACCAAGGCGACGAUCUGUAGCUGGUCUGAGAGGACGACCAGCCACACUGGGACUGAGACACGGCCCAGACUCCUACGGGAGGCAGCAGUGGGGAAUUUUGGACAAUGGGCGCAAGCCUGAUCCAGCCAUGCCGCGUGCGGGAAGAAGGCCUUCGGGUUGUAAACCGCUUUUGUCAGGGAAGAAAUCCUUUGGGUUAAUACCUCGGGGGGAUGACGGUACCUGAAGAAUAAGCACCGGCUAACUACGUG